RNAcentral lists this ribosomal RNA (385 nucleotides) under Cryptosporidium environmental sequence. RNAcentral's name for it is "SSU rRNA". It matches the Rfam family "Eukaryotic small subunit ribosomal RNA", at positions 675 to 1064 of the family's 1831-position model. The record is from RNAcentral. Lineage: Eukaryota; Apicomplexa; Conoidasida; Eucoccidiorida; Cryptosporidiidae.
UGUUAAUUCUCGUAUAUUAUACUACGGUAUGUAUAUGACAUUAACAUAAUUCAUAUUACUUUAUAGUAUAUGAAAUUUUACUUUGAGAAAAUUAGAGUGCUUAAAGCAGGCGUUUGCCUUGAAUACUCCAGCAUGGAAUAAUAAUAAGGAUUUUUAUCUUUCUUAUUGGUUCUAGGAUAAAAAUAAUGAUUAAUAGGGACAGUUGGGGGCAUUCGUAUUUAACAGUCAGAGGUGAAAUUCUUAGAUUUGUUAAAGACAAACUACUGCGAAAGCAUUUGCCAAGGAUGUUCUCAUUAAUCAAGAACGAAAGUUAGGGGAUCGAAGACGAUCAGGUACCGUCGUAGUCUUAACCAUAAACUAUGCCGACUAGAGAUUGGAGGUUGUU